This 1317-nucleotide long non-coding RNA is filed under the name Struthio camelus australis. Its description in RNAcentral is "lncRNA (ENSSCUG00000000631.1)". The record is from RNAcentral. Lineage: Eukaryota; Metazoa; Chordata; Aves; Struthioniformes; Struthionidae.
CUGUGCUUCAGGGGCUGCUUGUACCAAUGCAACCACCCCCAUCAUGUGCCGCCUUCCCCCCGCAGGUGGGCCAGCAGGUGCUGCACACAGCGAUGAGGCGCAGCUGGACCCCGACUUCGUCCCACCAAAGGGACAGGUGGCCUUUGCUUCCCGGCCAACAAAGCUCGCGAGCCUCUGAACACAUCAUUGCAAAGAUGGCCGAGGACACUGUCACGGAUGUUCUCGUCACGAUGCAAGCUCUUCAUCCCUCUGCUGGUUUGCCAAAGGCGCCUCCUCUGCGGCGCAGGGAGACACUGCCCGGCAGCACUUGUGCAAGAGCAGAGACAGCGCAUCCGCCCCGCUUACCACCUCUCGCAGCCAAGGCAGCUAGGCCGGCACAGGCAGGCCUGCAGGCCUCUGCAGCUGCAGCUAAAACACCAGGAUCCGCAUGUCGAAGCAAGCUGCCUGCUCGGGAAGCCUCCUGCAGAUCUUCUUCCAGACGCAGGGCCAAUGCCCUGGGCACCCAAGGUGUGGCAAGGAGAAAUCUGGAGAGUGUGAGCAAGCGAGUAGAGAGGCUGGCUACAAAUCCCAGCCAAGCUGCUGCCACGGCACACUUCCUGCCUGUUAGAGCUGCUGCGAUGGCUCUGCACUGUGGGCAGAGCCUGGAAGAGGAAGAGCUCCUGCCACCCCAUCUGCCUUUGCCUGCCCUUCACAAAGCCAAGCGGGAAGCUCGGGCUCCCCGCCGGGCAACUCAAGAGCGUGCCCGCUGCUUGCCUGAGCCCAGGCCUGCCUCUUCCGGAUCAGCCCUGGGAAAAGCAAGGAUGUUGCGAGAGGCUGGUGCCAGGACAACUCUUCCUGCGAAAAGCCGGCAGCUCAGCGCACGCUCCUGCUUUGUCCCGGGAGCACAGACCAUUCCUCAAAGGGAGAUGCGAGGCAUGCCAGCAUGCAAGGAGCGGGGGUCAACCCGCCUGACAGAGGCAAAGCUGCCAGAGUCCCUGCUGGGGGUGGCUUUUUCCAGAAGUGCCCAAGAAGUGUGCCAGGAGCUUGUGAGCAAGCUGCUCGCAGCUCCCCCAGAUGCCUGUGCCCACCAGCUCAAGGCACAAUGCUUGCACACCAUGGCGCACAGCCAGGACUUGGUGCUAAGCAAGUGCUCAGCGUCCCAACGGCGAGGCCACAGGCCUCCCCAAAGGCAAGUGCCCCGCGCUGAGACGCGCCAAGGAGAAACAGCCUCUCGUGCCCCGGAUGAAGGCCUGCAGUGGGAGAGGAUGCCCAAAGGUGUCUCAGAGGACGUUCAGCUCACGAGGCCCCGCUUCGCAGACGUACCACCCACCUCUGCUA